This 68-nucleotide transfer RNA is filed under the name Rattus norvegicus (Norway rat). It matches the Rfam family "tRNA". From Rfam's summary of the family: Transfer RNA (tRNA) molecules are approximately 80 nucleotides in length. Their secondary structure includes four short double-helical elements and three loops (D, anti-codon, and T loops). Further hydrogen bonds mediate the characteristic L-shaped molecular structure. tRNAs have two regions of fundamental functional importance: the anti-codon, which is responsible for specific mRNA codon recognition, and the 3' end, to which the tRNAs corresponding amino acid is attached (by aminoacyl-tRNA synthetases). tRNAs cope with the degeneracy of the genetic code in two manners: having more than one tRNA (with a specific anti-codon) for a particular amino acid; and 'wobble' base-pairing, i.e. permitting non-standard base-pairing at the 3rd anti-codon position. The record is from Rfam by way of RNAcentral. Lineage: Eukaryota; Metazoa; Chordata; Mammalia; Rodentia; Muridae.
GGGAAUUUGGCUCAGUGGUAGAGCGCUUGCCUAGGAAGCGCAAGGUCCUGGGUUCAAUCCCCAGCCCC